UACGGGGGGGGCAAGCGUUGUUCGGAAUUACUGGGCGUAAAGGGCGCGUAGGCGGCCUGCUAAGUCGGAUGUGAAAUCCCUCGGCUCAACCGAGGAACUGCAUCCGAUACUGGCGGGCUUGAAUCCGGGAGAGGGAUGUGGAAUUCCUAGUGUAGAGGUGAAAUUCGUAGAUAUUAGGAAGAACACCAGUGGCGAAGGCGGCUCACUGGCCCGGUACUGACGCUGAGGCGCGAAAGCGUGGGGAGCAAACAGG
RNAcentral lists this ribosomal RNA (253 nucleotides) under uncultured bacterium. Its description in RNAcentral is "partial 16S ribosomal RNA". It matches the Rfam family "Bacterial small subunit ribosomal RNA", at positions 524 to 776 of the family's 1533-position model. The record is from RNAcentral.